RNAcentral lists this ribosomal RNA (430 nucleotides) under Faxonius leptogonopodus. RNAcentral describes it as "Orconectes leptogonopodus partial large subunit ribosomal RNA". The stretch from base 80 to 430 matches the Rfam family "Bacterial large subunit ribosomal RNA", at positions 2048 to 2613 of the family's 2925-position model. The record is from RNAcentral. Lineage: Eukaryota; Metazoa; Arthropoda; Malacostraca; Decapoda; Cambaridae.
AUUAGUUUUUUAAUUGAAGGCUAGAAUGAAUGGUUGGACAAGAAAUAAUCUGUCUUAAACUAAUAUAUUGAAUUUAACUUUUAAGUGAAAAGGCUUAAAUGAUUUAAGGGGACGAUAAGACCCUAUAAAACUUUAUAUUUUAAGGUGGAAAUUAAUUUUAUUUUAAGGCUCCCAUUUUAAAUUAUUUUGUUGGGGCGACAAGGAUGCAAGAAAGGGUAACUGUCUUUUGUUUUUACAAUAAUAUUUGAAUUAUUGAUCCUAAAAAGGAUUAAAGAUUAAGUUACUUUAGGGAUAACAGCGUAAUUUUCUUUGAGAGUUCUUAUCGACAAGAGAGUUUGCGACCUCGAUGUUGAAUUAAAAGUUCUUUAUAGAGUAGAGACUAUAAGAGAAGGUCUGUUCGACCUUUAAAGUUUUACAUGAUUUUAGUUCA